CUGUGUUUCCUCCCUUGCUGUUCGCUUCUCAGGGAGCACCAGUGUUUUGUAGUACCUGUUCUCUCCUGAACUCACUCUUACUGAGAUACAAAUGCACUCUUCUAAGAUUUUACUUAUUUUUUGAGAGGUGGAGUUAUAGAUUGUGAGAGGGAGAGACAGAGAAAGGACUUCCAUCCACUGGUUCACUUCCCAAACGGCCACAAAGGCAGGAGUUGAGCUAUCUGAAGCCAGAAGCCGCGUCUGGGUCUCCCAGGACGUGAGUAUGAAGAAAAACCUAAGUGAAGAUGAGAGAAAUGAGAACACACAGGAAGCUACAACCCAUCUCAGGAGCCCCUGCUAAUGGCUCAGAAAAUGGAUUUCUGAAUGCAAACUAGGACUCAUUAUGGAAGAGUGCAUUCUCUUCAGGUCUGACUCCCCUGUUCAGAUGCAGGAUCCUCUAAGCCAGGACCAAGAGCAGAGUCUUUUUUUUCUCUUUAAAGAUUUAUUUACUUAUUUGAGAGAAAGAGUUACAGACAAAGAGAGGGAGAAACAAAGAUCUUCUAUCCGCUGGUUUACUCCCCAGAUGGAAGCAACAACUGGAGCUGCGCUGAUCUGAAGCCAGGAGCCAGGAGCUUCUUCCCAGUCUCCCACGUGGGUGCAGGGGCCCAAACACUUGGGCCAUCCUCUGCCGUUUUCCCAGGCACAUUAACAGGGAGCUGGAUCAGAAGUGGAGCUGCCAAGACUUGAACUGGUGCCCAUAGGGGAUGCUAGUGCCAUAGGCAGAGGCUUAGAACUAUGCCAUAGCGCCUGCCCCAGAGCAAGGGCUU
Molecule: non-coding RNA, 806 nt
Organism: Oryctolagus cuniculus (rabbit)
Lineage: Eukaryota; Metazoa; Chordata; Mammalia; Lagomorpha; Leporidae
Source: RefSeq, a predicted model, not a curated record